RNAcentral lists this ribosomal RNA (137 nucleotides) under uncultured Roseobacter sp. RNAcentral's name for it is "partial 16S ribosomal RNA". It matches the Rfam family "Bacterial small subunit ribosomal RNA", at positions 374 to 528 of the family's 1533-position model. The record is from RNAcentral. Lineage: Bacteria; Pseudomonadati; Pseudomonadota; Alphaproteobacteria; Rhodobacterales; Roseobacteraceae.
GGCGCAGCCUGGAUCUGCCAUGCCGCGGUGAGUGACGAAGGUCUUAGGAUCGUAAAGCUCUUUCGCCUGUGAUGAUAAUGACAGUAGCAGGUAAAGAAACCCCGGCUAACUCCGUGCCAGCAGCCGCGGUAAUACGA